CCUACGGGUGGCAGCAGUGAGGAAUAUUGGUCAAUGGACGAGAGUCUGAACCAGCCAAGUAGCGUGAAGGAUGACUGCCCUAUGGGUUGUAAACUUCUUUUAUAUGGGAAUAAAAUGUUCCACGUGUGGGAUUUUGUAUGUACCAUAUGAAUAAGGAUCGGCUAACUCCGUGCCAGCAGCCGCGGUAAUACGGAGGAUCCGAGCGUUAUCCGGAUUGAUUGGGUGUAAAGGGAGCGUAGGUGGAUUGUUAAGUCGGUUGUGAAAGUGUGCGGCCCAACCGGAAGAGUGCCGUUGAAACUGGCAGUCGUGAGUGCAGUAGAGGUGGGCGGAAUGCGUGGUGUAGCGGGGAGAUGCUUAGAU
RNAcentral lists this ribosomal RNA (360 nucleotides) under uncultured bacterium. Its description in RNAcentral is "partial 16S ribosomal RNA". It matches the Rfam family "Bacterial small subunit ribosomal RNA", at positions 338 to 695 of the family's 1533-position model. The record is from RNAcentral.